AUAAAUUCUGUGACGGGAAAGAGUAGGACAAACUGCAAAGAUUUUAGCGAACUGGGGAUGGUGAAAGCCCGGAAUCGAAGCGUUGUCUGAAUGGAUCCCCGAGAAGCUAGGCGAAAUGAAAAGAGUAGCUGAAGCCGUUGGUCUUACGUUACAAGGACAGGGUAUCGAUCAAAUGUUUUGAAUCCGUACCUGGUAGAGAAAGAUGAUAAUAAUAUCAUUAGGUGGCAUAACGAGCUUAUACGCUUCGUCCUAAUAUGGGCGAAGCGUUUUUUGAUAUAAUUAUCUUCUAAAUCAAGGUGGCACCGCGAUAAUAUCGCCCUUACU
Molecule: non-coding RNA, 324 nt
Filed under: Alkalibacter saccharofermentans
Lineage: Bacteria; Bacillati; Bacillota; Clostridia; Eubacteriales; Eubacteriaceae
Description: T-box sequence
Rfam family: T-box leader
About the family: Uncharged tRNA acts as the effector for transcription antitermination of genes in the T-box leader family.
Source: RNAcentral